This 374-nucleotide long non-coding RNA is filed under the name Apteryx rowi (Okarito brown kiwi). Its description in RNAcentral is "lncRNA (ENSARWG00000016610.1)". Lineage: Eukaryota; Metazoa; Chordata; Aves; Apterygiformes; Apterygidae. The record is from RNAcentral.
ACAGAGCUGAAAACAUCAACCUCGUGGCAUUCCCAUCAACUCAUCAGCAUUUCUUAACUUGUUGAGUGUGGCUACAGCUCUUGAUGUGCCUUGCUGCCUCGCUUUAUUCGAGAUCAAGAGAUGCAUCAUUCUGGUGUCCCAGCACUGCUCUUUCCUGUUCUGCUCAAAGUCAAGUUUUGCAUGUACCCAGAGAAUAAGGAAGUCUUUCUGCUUGCAUCGGCUUUUUUCCUGACUGCUUGAGAUUUUAGACCCAUACACCUGGUGCUGUGGUGAUCACCUCACUUGAUGCAUGACACAGUUUGGUCUUCUAAGCAUUAUUUGGAAGCUCUCCAUCACUUGUGUAGCUGAUCAGUCAUUUGCCUGUUUAUUAAAAU